CCUUUCUCCCGAUUAUUGCUUUUGUUUCUUUUCUCUUCUUUCCUCUUCCUUCUUUCUUCUCGACCGAACAGCGACAGAGACAGAGAUCAGAGACCGAGAUACCCGAUUUUCCGGUGGAUCAUCGGUGGGUCGGAGCUGACGACGCCGGUUAAGUCUGAAGAACUUUUUCUGGUGGGUUAAAGUCUGAUUUCCGGUGAUUGGGUGGAGGAUUGUUCCAUUGCCAAUUUUAGCAUUUCCGGUGGUUCUUCUCAGCUUCAAACGAAAAUCCUCAAGUAGGUGUGGUGCGGUAGAUUGUGUGCGAGCCUAGAGGUUGUUGAAUGUAACGACCCACUCCAACAACACAAUAUUGUUUGCUUUUGGUUCCCCUGAACUAGACUUCCAAUGAGGUCACUUAUCCUGGUACUACUAUCGCAGAAGCAUGCUUAACUACAGAGUUCUGAUAGGUUCAUGGUCAUCAUGGCUUUAAAACGCGUUGUGUUAAGAAGGGUACGUUGAUACAUAUAAGCAUAUCAUCAUUUCCAGGCGAUGUGGGAAGUCACAAUCACCCCCUCUUGGGAUUUAACGUCCCUGCUGGCGACCCUCAUGGGAUCUCCUCAUUUUUGACGUCCCAACGAGUGCCCGCUGGCAACCCUCAUGGGCUUCUUCACGCUCCCCCAUCUCAGGCUGAGCAAUGGCUCUGAUACCAUUUGAAACGAUCCACUCUAACAACACAAUAUUGUUUGCUUUUGGUUCUCUCGAACCAGACUUUCUAGAAGGUCAUCCAUCCUAGUACUAUCUCAGAAGCACACUUAACUGUGGAGUUCUGAUAGGUUCAUGACCAUCACGACUUUAAAACGCGUUGUGUCAAGAAGGAUGUGUUGAUACAUAUAAGCACAUUCCCAUUUCCAGGCGAUAUGAGACGUCACAAUGGAGGGAGCAUGCACAAGCCUAUGAGGGUUGCUAGCGGGCACACUUGUUGGAACCCCAUGAAUAUGGUGAUCUCAUGAGAGUCGCCAGCGUCCCCGCUGGGUCUCAAGAGGAGAUGAUUGUGACGUCCUAAAUCGCCUAGGUAUGGAAAUGAGUAUGUGCUUAUAUGUAUAUUUGUAUUAUUCUUGACAUAACGCGUUUUAAAGCCGUAAUUGCCAUGAACCUAUCACAACUUCGCAGUUAAGCGUGCUUCUGCGAGAAUAAUACCAGGAUGGGUGACCUCCUAAGAAGUCUAGUUCGGAGGAGUCAAAAGUGGACAAUAUUGUGUUGUUGGAGGUGGGUCGUUACAUCGAAGGGAAUUCCUUUGUUGUACUUUGGAGGUGCAGACUUUGCCUAAGUCAAUUUCUCCUCAUUUGUAGUAAUUUGUAUAUUGUGUUAGUAAUUGAGAUGUAGUAAUAUUAUAUAACGAUAUAGAUGCUCUGGUUAGUUUCAUGUAUAUGUUUAUGAGUUCAAUUCAAAAGAAAAAAUUAUUCAA
Long non-coding RNA from Alnus glutinosa, 1441 nucleotides. RefSeq lists it as uncharacterized. The record is from RefSeq and is a predicted model, not a curated record. NCBI's taxonomy places the organism in Eukaryota, Viridiplantae, Streptophyta, Magnoliopsida, Fagales, Betulaceae. The transcript has 2 exons.